GCUCUUUUUAUAACAAAAUCCUUCAAUUUGAUGGUGGGGGGGGGGGUAGUUAUGAAAACAUUCCCCCCACUGAGGGAGUGAUGGAUACAGUGACAGCAUCUCACUGGUUGAGGGAGGCUGAGGGCAGGCCAGGCACCGUGGGAAGCUUUGCAGGAUCAAGUCAAUACGGAUAGUAGCCCUGCUUCCCAGGUGAGGACACAGAGGCUCAGAGAAGGAGGUUCACCAGCAUUCCCAGGGACCACAACGUAAGCUCCACGAGUGGUGUGGUCGUGAACCUGUGAUUUAGCCAAAGUGGGCACGGAGGGGCCGCACUCUAAUGGAGGGACUGGUGCUUCGGGGAGUUUGCUUUGGCAAACCGCGCGUCCUAUUACUUAUUUAAUACUUUUCUUUAAGUGGAUUGACUUUUCGGCUUAAAUAUUUUAAAAGGCAUUUUAUGUUGCUCCUCUAAAUUGAAAAGCCGUUUCAGCGGCCACGCGUGGAAGGGAAGAGAGUUUCUCAUGUUAGGAGUCAGUGUUAUCUAUCUUUGGUAAAUGAGGAACAAGAAUCGACUCUGGGCAGCACGUGGCUCUUUGGCCUCUCAUACUCAUUAAAUGCCCCAUAAAUAGGUUGCAGCACGUCCUAUGGGUUGGCUCAUUCCACACCCACUCACCCCCAAUCUCCUUAUAAAUACCCUCCGCUAGAGGCUGAAAACCAAAACACUUCACUUCCUGCGUCCUUUGUAGCUGGGGGUGGUCCUGCGCCAGUGGGAAGUGGGGGGGGGGGGUGUGGAGUCCUUCCUUGAUUAAAAAGGCAAAACCUUGCUGGAGGAUUUUCUUUCAUCGCCUCUCUCUUUGUGCCGAUUGGUGUUAUAGGUCAGCUUGGCCAGGCUCGGGUACCUAGCUAUUCAAACAUUUGUCCAGGUGAUUGUUGCCAUGGAGGUGUUUUGGAGAUAUGAUGGAAGUCCAUAAUCAGUUGAUUUUUAGUGAAGGAGAUUAUCCUCCAUCAUGCGGGUGGGCCUCAUGCAAUCAGUUGAAGACCUUAAGAGCAAAACUGAGGUUUCCCUGAGGAAGAAGAAAUUUCACACGAGGGGAGCAGCUUCAGCUCGGGCCUGAGCAUUUCCAGACUGCUGGCUUGCCCUACAAAUUUCGGACUUGGCCAGCCAGACUCAGAAUUGCAUAAGCCACUUCCUUAGAAGGGGACAUGAGCUAUGAAGAUGCCUCUGCACCUUGCUGCCACGUAAGUGACAAACCUGUGGACAUUGAUGUUAAGCCUGGCGGAGCAGGAAGUUUUGCAGGGAACAAGGGUCUGUGAUUGCUUCACUGUGCUCGCCUACCAGCUUGGACGGUCUCCCUCUGGGCAUCUUAAUAUAUCUGAAAUCAGAAUGCGCCUUCCGAUAAAUGACAUCUUACAACUAAUCGGCGGGGUUGUUUCUAUACUUUCUUUUUCCCCCUUUGGAAGUCCUUAAAUAAUGACACAUCUUACAAUGA
Long non-coding RNA from Herpailurus yagouaroundi (jaguarundi), 1466 nucleotides. RefSeq lists it as uncharacterized. The record is from RefSeq and is a predicted model, not a curated record. NCBI's taxonomy places the organism in Eukaryota, Metazoa, Chordata, Mammalia, Carnivora, Felidae. The transcript is spliced from 2 exons.